Molecule: ribosomal RNA, 490 nt
Filed under: uncultured bacterium
Lineage: Bacteria
Description: partial 16S ribosomal RNA
Rfam family: Bacterial small subunit ribosomal RNA
Source: RNAcentral
AUUGAACGCUGGCGGCAGGCCUAACACAUGCAAGUCGAACGGUAACAGGAAGAAGCUUGCUUCUUUGCUGACGAGUGGCGGACGGGUGAGUAAUGUCUGGGAAACUGCCUGAUGGAGGGGGAUAACUACUGGAAACGGUAGCUAAUACCGCAUAACGUCGCAAGACCAAAGAGGGGGACCUUCGGGCCUCUUGCCAUCGGAUGUGCCCAGAUGGGAUUAGCUAGUAGGCGGGGUAACGGCUCACCUAGGCGACGAUCCCUAGCUGGUCUGAGAGGAUGACCAGCCACACUGGAACUGAGACACGGUCCAGACUCCUACGGGAGGCAGCAGUGGGGAAUAUUGCACAAUGGGCGCAAGCCUGAUGCAGCCAUGCCGCGUGUAUGAAGAAGGCCUUCGGGUUGUAAAGUACUUUCAGCGGGGAGGAAGGGAGUAAAGUUAAUACCUUUGCUCAUUGACGUUACCCGCAGAAGAAGCACCGGCUAACUCCGUG